GGCACUUUGGCGGAGUGGUUAACGCGAUGCCCUGCUACUAGUUAUUUCGCUGUUAGCCUAGGCAUUUCCUUCGGGAGCGUGAGUUCGAAUCUCACAGGUGUCG
Molecule: transfer RNA, 103 nt
Filed under: Aspergillus sydowii CBS 593.65
Lineage: Eukaryota; Fungi; Ascomycota; Eurotiomycetes; Eurotiales; Aspergillaceae
Rfam family: tRNA
About the family: Transfer RNA (tRNA) molecules are approximately 80 nucleotides in length. Their secondary structure includes four short double-helical elements and three loops (D, anti-codon, and T loops).
Source: Rfam by way of RNAcentral